Long non-coding RNA from Manis javanica (Malayan pangolin), 1629 nucleotides. RefSeq lists it as uncharacterized. Lineage: Eukaryota; Metazoa; Chordata; Mammalia; Pholidota; Manidae. The record is from RefSeq and is a predicted model, not a curated record.
UGGGCAGGCCUGGGCUCUGCUUGAUUUGUACAGCAAAAUAAUUUUUUAGUUUAACAAAGAUGUAACUCUGGCCAGCACACCACAUAGUUAUAUACCUUCUAGCUGAUACCAUCCCUGAGUCCUAUAGACCCCAGAGGUCCUUGAAGAGGAAGAUGGGAACCUCAGACAGUUGCUGCAUCAUUCAAAUCUCCAGGCCGAUUGGUCCCAAAGAUGGACAGGACUUGAAAAAUAAUGGAGGGUUCCCUCAAGCUUAACUAGAGCCAUGCCUGUCGAUGGCCUGCCGGACCAUGUGUGUUCCCUCCUCUCUGUGCAGCCAGCAGUUACACAUUCUGCCUGUGGCCCAUCUGCCAGCGUCCAGCCCUUUCUGGUACAUCACAGGACACAGCAGGUCAUGUCCCUGACUUGUUUAUCAUCCCUGGAAUUACUGGCUUUGCAUAACACCAGGUGGUCCAAACAAAAUUGUCUACAACCAAGAAACUUCCCAGUGAAAGAAAUAAGAGAGUUGGCAAGCCAUGAGCCAUUAUCGUAUUUCCCAUCCACCAGAAGCAGCUGGCCUUACAGAACAAUGAAAUGGUGUUCUGAAAACAGAUCUAGCAGUGUCCAGGAGACCACACCUGUGAGGCUGAGACACUUUCUUGUAGAAAGUGAUAUGUCAUCUCAAACAGUGACUGAAAUACGAUGUCAAUUCUCCCUUAGCCAACAGCAUCCAGAAACCAAGGGGGGUGAGUGGUGGAGGGUGGCAGUUCUCACAGUUAAUUUUUUCUCUAAAAAUAUUUGCUUUUCAUCCUCCAAGUCACUCACGCUCUGUGGACUUAACUGUCCAAAAGUGAGGUGUUUUCACAGGGAACUCAAUGAAAUCCAGCUCACAAUUUGGGACUCCUCCUCCCACUAGGCAAUGACAGAAGAGGAUGUUCGUGUGCUAGCUGUGCUCACCCUGAUUAUGAAGGGGAAAUAGGGUUAUCACUCCCCAAUAGGGCCCUCAAGGGGCAGAGGUGAUUGCAUCAUGCAACCAUACCCAGUGGCACAAAUUAACAGAAAAUGAUCACAAUACAUAUUAACGUUCUAAUUUUCCUCCUUGCUGUUGUAUAUAUCAGAGUCUGGUAAUAGUUGUGUACCAGUUUGUUCAAGGUUUUGGGAUGGUAAGAAAUAACCAACCCUUGGUUAGCAAGAAAUAGAGGAGGAAUGGGCAACACUUGGAAACUCUGAACUCUGAAAUUUAGAAGAAACGUUGAUGGUGGUCUGCAAUGUCACAUUCGUAUAUCUCGAUGAGACUUUGUAGUUGGCUCCUCGGAGGGAUGUUGAAGUGCAUUUGUGGCCAUAAUAACUGGAGAGGUGGAAUAAAAUACACACUGGGGUGCCUGGGGCUGGUUGUGUGCCCUCUUUUGUCUACAUACUGUACCUAUGCAACUUCAUCCAGUCCUAUGGCUUUAAAUAACUCCUACUACCAGUGACUCCUAAACUUAUAUUUCCAGCUCUGGCCUCACCUGAAAGUCCAGACUAUAUAUCCACCUGCCUACUUGAUCAAGUCCUUGGGGGCUUCACAAGGAUCUCAAAUCAACAUGUCCUUCAACCAUUGUGGAAAGCAGUAUGGAGGUUCCUCAAAAAACUCAAAAUAGAAAUACCACUUGA